GACGAACGCUGGCGGCGUGCUUAACACAUGCAAGUCGAACGGAAAGGCCCUGCUUUUGUGGGGUGCUCGAGUGGCGAACGGGUGAGUAACACGUGAGUAACCUGCCCUUGACUUUGGGAUAACUUCAGGAAACUGGGGCUAAUACCGGAUAGGAGCUCCUGCUGCAUGGUGGGGGUUGGAAAGUCUCGGCGGUUGGGGAUGGACUCGCGGCUUAUCAGCUUGUUGGUGGGGUAGUGGCUGACCAAGGCUUUGACGGGUAGCCGGCCUGAGAGGGUGACCGGCCACAUUGGGACUGAGAUACGGCCCAGACUGCUACGGGAGGCAGCAGUGGGGAAUAUUGCACAAUGGGCGGAAGCCUGAUGCGGCAACGCCGCGUGCGGGAUGACGGCCUUCGGGUUGUAAACCGCUUUCGCCUGUGACGAAGCGUGAGUGACGGUAAUGGGUAAAGAAGCACCGGCUAACUACGUG
RNAcentral lists this ribosomal RNA (468 nucleotides) under uncultured bacterium. RNAcentral's name for it is "partial 16S ribosomal RNA". It matches the Rfam family "Bacterial small subunit ribosomal RNA", at positions 28 to 507 of the family's 1533-position model. The record is from RNAcentral.